Non-coding RNA from Fistulina hepatica ATCC 64428, 95 nucleotides. The record is from the annotation of a GenBank genome assembly. NCBI's taxonomy places the organism in Eukaryota, Fungi, Basidiomycota, Agaricomycetes, Agaricales, Fistulinaceae.
UCGGAUAUGGUGUAACGGCUAACAUUUGCGCCUCUCAUCGAUAGAUCUGCUUCAUGUGAUCGCGCAAGCUCGGGGUUCGAUUCCCCGUAUCCGAA